GGGCUGUGUUCUUUUAGGAAAAUUGUCUUGGAAUAAUUCUUGGGAAUCGGCUAAGAUGCAGGUCGAGAGGCAUCUCGUUAGGUGUCUGGACUCUUGAAGUGGAGUGGUUACUAGGUUAUUUUGUUAUGCUAUGAUGUAUAUAUAUGUACUUAGCUUUCUCUCCACAUAACUUAUUCUUUUUGAUCCUCCUAGAGGUGUAUGGAGAGGUAGGAUUUUGUUUAUGUACAUUUGGGUUUUGGAUAUGUAUAUAUAUGUAUA
Molecule: non-coding RNA, 258 nt
Organism: Arachis ipaensis
Lineage: Eukaryota; Viridiplantae; Streptophyta; Magnoliopsida; Fabales; Fabaceae
Source: RefSeq, a predicted model, not a curated record